AGAAAAUUCCUUUGAGAGAGUCACCUUUGUUUGAGCAUUGUCUGUUAAGCUCCAGUUUUUAGAAAGUGCCAACACUGCAAGAAUGGAGAAAUUCCACAUAAUUGAACCAGGGUGAGGUGGUAUGAGGUGAUAUAGGAUGGGCGGUGAGAUGAGAAGGGACAAAAGGGUAGGGGAGAAAGACACUGCUGAAUUUUUUACUCUGAAAUCCUUCCCCGCAGCCUCUGAAGAAGCUACCGUAAUAUUUACAAAAAUCACAACAUGCUUGUUACCUUUGAAUUUCCUGUGGAAGAUGACUUUUGCGGGGUUGAAAGAGCAUGAUGAUUCUCCGGGUACAAAGACUUCCGUGUGGCUGGGAAACUACCAGAAUGCACGCUGAUGAAAGUACAUUCAGGAAGUACAGAGACAGUCCUGUGGUCUGAAGCUUUCAUUUCUGAAGUCCCAUCAGUGUAUCUGCCUCUUCACAGAUGAGAAGGCUGUAUUAUCUUUGUUCAAGGUAAGCCCUUAAUGUUAUCUUUUUCAGUCAAAUCUAGCCACUUAACCACUUUGAGCACCG
RNAcentral lists this long non-coding RNA (553 nucleotides) under Bos indicus x Bos taurus (hybrid cattle). RNAcentral's name for it is "lncRNA (ENSBIXG00005012547.1)". The record is from RNAcentral. Lineage: Eukaryota; Metazoa; Chordata; Mammalia; Artiodactyla; Bovidae.